GAUGAAGAACGUAGUGAAAUGCGAUAAGUAAUGUGAAUUGCAGAAUUCAGUGAAUCAUCGAAUCUUUGAACGCACAUUGCGCCCCCUGGUAUUCCGGGGGGCAUGCCUGUUCGAGCGUCAUUUCACCACUCAAGCCUCGCCUGGUAUUGGGCAACGCGGUCCGCCGCGUGCCUCAAAUCGACCGGCUGGGUCUUCUGUCCCCUAAGCGUUGUGGAAACUAUUCGCUAAAGGGUGCUCGGGAGGCUACGCCGUAAAACAAACCCAUUUCUAAGGUUGACCUCGGAUCAGGUAGGGAUACCCGCUGAACUUAAGCAUAUCAAUAAGCGGAGGA
Molecule: unclassified non-coding RNA, 331 nt
Filed under: soil metagenome
Description: partial contains 5.8S ribosomal RNA, internal transcribed spacer 2, and large subunit ribosomal RNA
Rfam family: 5.8S ribosomal RNA (bases 1-120)
Source: RNAcentral